UGGGGCAUGAACCUGGCAUACAAUGUAGAUUUCUGUGUGUGUUAAGCAACAGCUACAUUGUCUGCUGGGUUUCCAGCUGCCUGG
Molecule: non-coding RNA, 84 nt
Organism: Chaetura pelagica (chimney swift)
Lineage: Eukaryota; Metazoa; Chordata; Aves; Apodiformes; Apodidae
Source: Rfam